This 460-nucleotide ribosomal RNA is filed under the name uncultured bacterium. RNAcentral's name for it is "partial 16S ribosomal RNA". It matches the Rfam family "Bacterial small subunit ribosomal RNA", at positions 338 to 795 of the family's 1533-position model. The record is from RNAcentral.
CCUACGGGAGGCAGCAGUGAGGAAUAUUGGUCAAUGGACGAGAGUCUGAACCAGCCAAGUAGCGUGAAGGAUGACUGCCCUAUGGGUUGUAAACUUCUUUUAUAAAGGAAUAAAACGAGGCACGUGUGCCUUUUUGCAUGUACUUUAUGAAUAAGGAUCGGCUAACUCCGUGCCAGCAGCCGCGGUAAUACGGAGGAUCCGAGCGUUAUCCGGAUUUAUUGGGUUUAAAGGGAGCGUAGAUGGGUUGUUAAGUCAGUUGUGAAAGUUUGCGGCUCAACCGUAAAAUUGCAAUUGAUACUGGAAGUCUUGAGUACAGUUGAGAUAGGCGGAAUUCGUGGUGUAGCGGUGAAAUGCUUAGAUAUCACGAAGAACCCCGAUUGCGAAGGCAGCUUACUAAACUGUGACUGACAUUGAUGCUCGAAAGUGUGGGUAUCAAACAGGAUUAGAUACCCUUGUAGUC